This 9882-nucleotide long non-coding RNA is filed under the name Sorghum bicolor (sorghum). Its description in RNAcentral is "long non-coding RNA (SBIC_LNC008549)". Lineage: Eukaryota; Viridiplantae; Streptophyta; Magnoliopsida; Poales; Poaceae. The record is from RNAcentral.
GCAGAUCAGAAACUAAGUUUCCCAAAGGGAAUAUUGAAGAACUUCUGCAUCCGAGUUGGUACCUUGUACGCCCCAGCAGACUUCGUGGUGAUAGAGACUGGUAUUGAUGAGAGGGCAUCCAUCAUCCUAGGGAGGCCAUUCCUGAACACCUCGGGAGCUGUCAUCUACGCUAGUGCUGCCAAGAUCAGUUUCUACAUUAAGGCGAGGAAGGAGACAUUUUCCUUCAAGAGCAAGAUUACACAAAUCUCAGAGCAAUCCCAACAUGAACCAAGGAAGAGGACCAAGAGGAGGAACAGGAACAAGCAAAUGUGGACCGAGUCAGCUAAGAUGGUCACUGCAGUUCAAGGAGGUCAAGACCGUCGACUUAAGUCACCGUUCCUGACCAAAAAGGAUGACCCAGUCACCUAUCAGCUCCUGUUCGGAACUAUGCCCUUAAAACCGACAUAUACCCAGCUCUAGAUGGCAGAUAAGACAUUCUGAAGGGUUGAAGGUUAUUGACUUGGGAGAAGACGAGUACGAUCCACCCAUCAUCCUUGGGAGACAGUUCCUCAGCACCGCUAAAGCAAUCAUCUACAUUGGAACCGGAGAAGUCCACGUGCACUUCCCCUCUGAGAAGGUACGCCUCUAUUUUACUGACCCUAACUAUAUAGUUGAAGAUUCUAAGCAGGUCAGGACAAGAAGAAGACGACGCAACCGCAACCAGAGAAGGCAAAUCAUCAAGGACGGAUGGGCGGACUACGAAGGAAAAGUGGUAAUGUCUAAAGACAUACAGCUUGAACAGAACUGUCCUAAGGAGAUCGUAGCACCAAGUCAGGUGUGGAGAGAGAAUACACGAAGAGGAGGCACUGCCGGAACCACCGACUACGCCAUCCAGCGAAUCCCAGGACGACUAAUAAAAUGGAGAGUCCCGUUCGGAGGACUUAAAAACACCGAACGCCUUGCCAAGAGGUAAACUUGGUAGUUAUCCUUUUCUUUUCAAUUAUCUUAAAAUAGUUUGCUUAGUUAAUCUGGUUCAUAUCAUCUUGAAAAGAAAAUAAAAAUGUUAAAAAUAGUAAGCCCCAUGUGAGUAUGCUCAUGGCAUAAAACCCAUAAGUACAUUCACUGUGGUGGCAUAAAAAAUAAAAUAAAUAUAUUCCUGUCCUAUAAAAAUAAAAAUACAAAAAUAAAUUUAUGGUCCUACUAAAGAGUGUAACAUUUAUUGAGGAGGCUCAACACGAUAAAGGCUAGAUAUUUAUGCUAACACUUAACUAGUUCCACAAAGCUUUGUUGUCUAUUUGAGCUCCACAGAAUUCAAGGAUCAAAGAAGACUAGCAGACAGAGGACAUCCUAAUCACUGUUAGAGUGCUGCCGACAUUGAAAUACACCUCCACCACUUGCUAGCUACAUCAGUAGAAAUUACGUCAAGAUCCAGCUUGGGGGAGAGCACCCCCAUUUAUCUAGCUAAGUAUUCUACUCAUGUUUAUACUUUACUCAAAUAAUAAAAAGUUGCAUAAUCAUAAAAACCUAAAUAAAGAUUUUGUGCUUAUAUAUAUAUAUAUCUUUGCUUAGUUUACUAAAUAAAUAAAUAAACAAAGUUUGCUAUGAACCCUCAUGAUAAGCUCUCACUUGGAAAUGAUGAAUAGUUGCUCUGCCUAGUUCUCAAAGUUGAAAUCUCUCUCAAGUUUAGGCAUGACUGUUAUUAAUUAAGAUUUGCUCUAAACCUGAACUUGUGGGGAGAGUACUUGAUCUGAAAUCUAAGUCAUUAACGGAUAUGAUAUGGGAAGGUUGAGCUGCUGUUUAUCUGAUCCUAGAGAUGCUAGAAUUCUGGAGAACUUUAUCUUUGAAAAUCUUUAAAAUGUUGCAUAAUGAGUUCCUGUAUGAUGAGAGUUUAAAUUCCUACCACAGCCAUAUAUACAUGCUUGCUAAAACUUUGAGCCACACAUUUACUUUACUGCUUAUGAGCAUUGAGUGUGGUCAAGCUGUGUAGACCCUUAGGAGCUUGUCAUGUGGUUAAAUCAAGAUUCACUUGCAUGUUCACUCACACAUGCUGCUUCUACUUCGGAAGUACGCAUCCACAUAUAUCCACCCAUUUCCAUCUCUAGAAUCACCCAAAAAUAUUCUACUCCUAAUCCGGGAGAGAAUAGCCAAAAAUAUUUAUGUUAUUCCCCUAUGAAAUAAAUGCUCAAGUUAUCUUGGUUACUACCACUUGCUAUAUCAUUUCAGGAGAUGAGUGCUCUAAAAAAAGAGAAAAAAAAGAGAGAUACGAGGAAAUAAAAAGGGGCAAGUGCCCGGAACCUCGAAAGAAAAGAAAAAGUGAGACGAGAGGUAAAAAUGGACAGGUGUCUGUUGACGGUCCUUAAGUAUCAAAUUUACUUAUCAAAUAAACAAAGAAAAGGAUCCAAAUGAAAUCAACAUCUAGACUUAGGGUUUUAUUUGACAGAAUUCCACGAGUUUUGGUGUUUGUCUAUUUCUGCAGGGGGUUAUCAGGAAAUAAGGAAGAAAGGCCCACAUGUCGGGAUUACAUAGAGAUAUCAACCCACCGCGCAAUUUUCUACCAUCUAGAAGACUCCAGAAGCCACGGGAAGGAAGCGGAGCCCGAAAGGGGCCAGGCCCAGGGCGCCCGCCCUGAGGACCUGGGCGCCCGCCCCCCUCUGGACUCCGUUCCGGACUAUCUUCGCACACGACGUUCCACCGACCUAUUGGAUCCAGAAUAACAUAGUACCACCUCGCCUAUCGACCCAAAAACGCAUAGAAGGGGAGGACUAUAUAAGGAGACCCCCUCUGGCCCCUGGAGGAGACAAGAAAUUAUCAUAGAGAUUGAGGGGUGCCCUCGAAGGAAAACCUCUUCUCUAAAUAAUAUUUCUUUUUAGGCUUAGGAACCAAUGUAAAGUAGAAAUAGAUCUUCUAGUUUCUACUAGAUUGAGAGAGAUAGAGUGGAGGUGUGGAUCGGAGGAAGGCCGGCCUGUCGGUGUCUACUCCGAGUUGUACCUGCAGGAUCAAGUCUCCUAACCCGAGGCUUGCUUCUAAGAUUCUUUAGUAAUUCGACUUCUAAUACUAGUAAGUUCUUGUUUUAUUGUUCUUUGGUUUAUGAGUUUACUUUAAUCCUCUUCCAGUUGAGUAUUAGAGUAAUCACUUGUUAGCGUAAACGUGGUGUUUAGGCUAGGGUACUCAUAGAUAUCCCCUGACUAGCUGGACCGUGGUAGUAGCGAGGAACGUGACAUUUCCGAGUUACCUUUGCAGACCACAUCUCGUUAGCAGGAUGGGUAGGUUUAUAGGUGCGGGUCGAAUAUCCUUUGUGUUGUCUAGAUUCCGUGAGCCUCCCCAAUAGAACAGUAGAUCAUCCUUACCAAGGUUAGAACGAGACUACAGUUGCAGUCUUCUCUAUACAUCACUCACAUCGAGAGACAUUCUUUGUAGUCUAAAGGGAUAGUAGCAAUAGAUUUGGUUAGUCAGAUGCAACCUUUCUCCCAGUGGUAAAAAUAUAAAUACGAUAACUCUGGAUAACCUCCCGGGUGAAAUGCUCACUGAUAUCCGUGCGCUUGCGGAUCAUUUCCUUAUUGCGUUACCAUAUAUCAACAAGCAUUUCUGGCGCCGUUGCCGGGGAGAAAGACGGUUUGCUGAGAUAACUUUGAAUCUUGCUAUUAUCUUGUAUUAUACUUUUAUACUUUUAUUCUUUUAUCUUUUUGUUUUUAUAUUUAUGGAUAACUCAAAUUCCAUACUUAUUAUUAAAUUCUUUGCACCUUCGGAGACCAGCCAUAGACCAUGGGAGUCAACACGUCCUGUCCCUAAUUAUGAUUCGUGUCCGGAGUUGAUUGCAAUAGGUCAAAACCAACCCUUUUCUAUAGCUGAGGUCCUAUCUUUUAAUCAAGAAGAUAAUGCACUUUUAGCUACACCUAGGGAAUCUGUUAAUCUUUCUAUAAAUUCUGGUUUAGACCUAGCCCUACAAGACCAUGUUUUUCCUGAAUAUUUUCACAUUGGUCUUAAUUAUAUAACCUUUGGUAGAGUCCUUCUUUCUUUAUCUAUUAGUAAAGGAAGGUAUGUCUUCAUUCGUGGACAUCCUUCUUGUACUAGUCUUCAUAGAAAAAUCUUAGAAAUAGAGAAGGAAUCAUCUCCCAGACAAGGAAAGGAAGUUUCAAUAGCCAAUUUCCAAACAUUUCAAACCCAUAAUUCGGCUAUCCACAUCUUCCUUGAGCUUAAUAAAUUCUACUAUGCUCUUUCUCUUAAACCUCCCGAUAAUCAUAUGAAUCUCUCUAGACAUCCCAUGCAUAAGAAGGAGGAUCGAGAAGAGCAACAUCAAUGGCUAGAGGGCAUUAAAAAUCCAUGUGCUAUCACCAUUGAAUGGAUAGAUAAAACAAACUUGAGAGACAAUCCUAGAGGAAUUUUAAACAUUCAUGAAGAAUCAUCCUUGGAGUUUGAGAAUGAGAGAAACAACAGUGAGCAUGGAAGUUAUUUCAUAAAUACCUCACCCAGUCCUUGCUCAUAUAAAACAUCUUUCCAAUCAAUUUGUCUCUCCAUCCUUACCACAUUUGAGAUCUCCAACCCCCUCUUCUUUUCUAUUUAUAAAAACUUUAAACGGGCGGUUGUCGAUGCAUAUGUCUAUAAUAAAUAUUGCAGAUCUCGUUGAGUUAAUUGAUGGUUCCCCAAGGACAAGCUUAGCGUCCUUAAACAAGCACUUAUCAGAUCGUAACAUGAACUUCUAAUUAUUUGCAACAUUGCCUUGUGUAUUGAGCAUAUGAGAUAAAUGUAGAAAUAUUCCUUCGGGUAUUCUUGCCACUAACCUUUUCAGGAAUAGAGCAAGAAGAUCGGAUGAAUGACAAGCGCAAGGUAUGCCCAACCAAUCAUCAUGCAACAUUAAAUUAAAUUCAUCCAAUCUUGAAUUUUGCAAAAUUCAAGCUUGGGGGAGUACUUUACAUAAAACAUCCUUUGCCAUGUUGGUUGUCCUUACCUUUGAGACAUGCUCAAUUUGUUAAAUAAUCACACUACUUCAUCUCCACUUGAGUAGAUCUCUAUAAAAGCCAUCAUGCUACCUUUGUUUAUCCUAGUAAGUGUUAGUUUGGAAGUACUGGUCACACUUCCAAUGGCAUUUAAAUUAAGCGUGGUGCUUAGGUUAAAUAGCCUUCCUUAAUCUGAUUAGACAUGGAGUCUAGUUUGGUUACUGAACUAAAAACUGCUUGAGUAGAUAUUGGUAUAUUUUGGACUAACCCCUGCAGGAAAACUUUCAAUAUCAACCUGGGAAGUCCUAAGAUAAACUCACAUUUGAGAUGAAGAAAGUGACACAUGAAGUUUAAACAAUUUGCACAAGAAAGACGUAGCUCAUAAGAGAUGAUUCAUGGAGGGUGCCACAAACACGAUGCACAACCGCUAAGAAAGGAAAGCUUCCACGAGGUAAUACUGUACCGUCACUCUUCAAGUAAGGUAACAUUUUAAGGUACUUGACUAUCACUUUUAUAAGCUUCUCCAUGGUUCUAGCAUUCACAUAAAUAAAGAGACAAACAUGUAUGAUUUAUAACUCCAAAUUAACCAACCCAAUUAAUUCGACAUGAUUAGUCCUUUAAUCUUUGUUCUUAGUACUACCUUCGUGAUCCCACACUCCUAAUCAUAUAAGCUAAAAUGUUGCACAUUCAAUCUUUGGAAGAUAUAAACAAAACAUAAAUAUAGAUAGAUUAUCUUUCCAUCAGGUUGAGCCAUCUGAUCUAACAAAUGUUUUAAAUGCUACACUCAUGAUCCAUCAACUUUGUCUUGCUCACUAUGCUUAAGGUUAGAGAAGAACAAAUAUACUUUUGGUUCUGUUGGUGUUUUCCACCAACAGGGCCCAUGCACUUGAUCUCUGCCUUGUCUUUAUGAACAGGUACACUUCAAACAAAACAUGGAGGAGUUUUACAACUCCUAGAUUCCACGAAGUGAAGAACCGGAAUCUACGAGCACAAACACACUGGAGAUACUGGACGCUCAGGCAAUCACUGCCCUGAGAUGCUUGAGGACGUGAACUACAUCAACAACAAUAACAACUAUUACUACAACUAUCCUCAACAACAUCAAGGUUGGAAUCAACAGAGGCCUAAUUACUCAGAGAGGUGAUCUAGGACGCCCCGUCAUCCCGAUCUCCAUCGGCAUGGUGGACUUCCCAGAAGCACUCUGCGACUUUGGCUCCAGCGUCAACAUUAUGCCCAGGGUUGCAGAUCGGACACUCAGUUUCCCAAAGGAAAUAUUGAAGAACCUCUGCGUCCGAGUUGGUACCUUGUAUGCUCUAGCAGACUUCAUGGUGAUAGAGACUGGUACUGAGAGAGGGCACCCAUCAUCUUACGGAGGCCAUUCCCAAACACCAGAGCUGUCAUCUACGCUAAUGCUGCCAAGAUCAGUUUCUACAUCAAGGGGAAGAAGGAGAUUUUCCUUCAAGAACAAGACUACACAAACUUCAGAGCAAUCCCGACAUGAACCAAGGAAGAGGACCAACAGGAGGAACAGGAACAAGCAAAUGUGGACCGAGUCAGCUAAGAUGGUCACUGCAGCUCAAGGAGGUCAAGAUCGUCGACUCAAGUCACCUUUCUUGAUCAAGAAGGACGACACUGGUGUUCCAAGAAUCGAAUGCACAAACAAUGGAUACUCUUUUUAGAAGACACUCUACGACACCGGAUCUGACGACAACAUAAUGGCCGCAGUCACUUAUCAGCUCCUGCAUGGAACCAUGCCCCUACAACCAAGAUACAUUCAGCUUCAAACAAUUUUCAGGUCAUUGACAUAGGAGAAGAUGAGUAUGAUCCAUCCACCAUCCUUGGAAGACCGUUCCUCAGCACUAUCAAAGCCAUUAUCUAUAUUGGAACCGGAGAAGUCCACAUGCACUUCCCCUCUGAGAAAGGUACGCCACUACUUUAAUGAUUAUAUAGUUGAAGAUUCUAAGCAGGUCAGGACAAGAAGAAGACAACGCAACCGCAACCAGAGGAGGCAAAUCAUCAAGGACGGAUGGGUAGACUACGAAGGAGAAGUGAUAAGGACUGAAGACAUACAACUUGAACAGAUCUGUCCUGAGGAGACCGUAACACCGAGUCAGGUAUGGAAAAUGAAGAUAACUAUAAAUGAAGAGGAGGCGCUGCCGGAAGUACCGACUACGCCACCCAACGAACCUCAGGACGACUAAGAAAACGGAGAGUCCCAUUCGGAGGACUUAAAAAACACCGAACGCCUUGCCAAGAGGUAAACUUGGUAGUUAUCCUUUCCCUUUUAAUUAUUUCAAAUAGUUUACUUAGUUAAUCAUGUUCGUAUUAUCCUAGAAAGAAAAUAAAAAUGUGAAAAAAAACUGUAAGCCCCAUGUGAGUAGACGAGUGGCAUAAAACCCAUAAGUACAUUCACUGUGGUGGCAUAAAAAUAAAAUAAAUAUUUUUCUGCUUUAAAAACAAAAAUAUAAAAACAGGGAGUAAUAUUUAUUAAGGAGUCUCAACAUGAUAAAGGCUAAAUAUUUAUGCUAACGCUUAAUCAGUUCCACAAGCUUUGUUGUCUAUUUGAGAUCCACAGAAUUUAAGAAUCAAGAAGACUAGCAGACGGAGGACAUUCUAAUCGCUGUCAAAAUACUGCUGACUUUCAAACACACCUCUGCCACCUGCUAGUUACAUCAAGAGAAAUUACGUCAAAAUUCAGCUUGGGGGAGAGCACCCCCAUUUAUCUCGAUAAGUAUUUCUAUCCAUCUUUAUACUUAUACUAUAUUAGAAUAUAAAUACACAUAACUAUAAAAAACCAAAUAAAGAUUUUAUGCUUAUAUAUAUUUUGCUUAGUGUGUUUAAUAAAUAAAUAAAGUGGCUAUGCUAAUCUGUAUCUAAUAAAACUUAAGCAUGGAUAUGAUGAAUAGUUGCUCUGCCUAAUUUGCAAAUUUGAAGUUCUCUCUCAAGUUUAGAUAUAACUGUUAUAAUUUAAGGCUUGCUCUAGACCUAAACUUGUGGGAUGAAAACUUGAUCUGAAGUCUAAGUUGUUAACAGAUACGAUAUGGGAAGGUUGAGCUGCUGUUUAUCUGUUCCUAGAGAUGCUAGAAUUCUGGAGAAUUUUAUCUUUAAAAAUCUUUAAAAUGUUGCAUGAUGAGUUCCUGUAUGAUGAGAGUUUAAAUUCCUACCACAGCCAUAUAUACAUGCUUGCUAGACCUUGAGCCACACAUUUACUAUUUACUGCUUAUGAGCAUUGAGUGUGGUCAAGCUGUGUAGACCCUUAGGAGCUUGUCAUGUGGUUAAAUCAAGAUUCACUUGCACGAUUACUCAUACAUGCUACUUCUACUCUGGAAGUACCAUCCACAUAUAUCCACUCAUUUCUAUCUCCAGUUUUACCCAAAAUUAUUCUACUCCUAAUCUGGGAGAUAAUAGCCAAAAACAUUUUCCUAUCCCUGUUAUUCUCUGUGAAAUAAAUGCUCCAGUUAUUUUGGUUACUACCACUUGCUACAUUAUUUCAGGAGAUGAGUGCUCUAGUAAAAAAAGAGAAAAAAAAGAAGAAAAAAAAAGAGAAAAAAAAUAAUAAUAUACGAGGAAAUAAAAAGGAGCAAGUGCUCGGAACCUCGAAAGAAAAGAAAAAGAAGAGCAUCUCAUUCUCCUCAUAAAGUUUCAAAAGCAAGGAAGGUAUGUAUCCCCUCAAAGAGCAAAGUAGAAUUAGACUUCCACCACCAUUGUUAUCACCAUCAUCACCAUACACCAUUCAUUCGCCACACAUGCACAUCUUGAUUUGGCUUAUUGAUUUGUUUCUUUGGAUCCAUGGUUUGACUAUGCAAUAAAUGUCUUGUAAGUAUGUAUACUUUAUCUCCCACCUAUGAGCUCCAGAUAUUAAAGCCUUAUUAGAGUAGGGUGAGAGAAAAGACAAUGUCACUAUGCUUCAUACAAAAAAUACUACAUAUUUUGAGAGAAGGCAUAUACCAUCACUGCCUUGGUAAGGAUCCAAAAAUACCACAAUAGAGAGACCUGAGAGAAUCAUACAAGGAAUUUCUGAGUUUUAUUUGAAAAUCUGCAAAAACCCUAGAGCUAUAGCUGAUCAAGAAUAAGAGAGAUGGCACUUGGCUAGACUGUUCUGUCUUUUAACCACUCAAGACAGAAGUGAUAGUUACAAGUCCCAUGGUAAAGGUAAAGUAAGUAAGUUUUAAGUCUUGACAGUUUACUCUAACUCAGAGAUGAGAUCUUAUUUAAAAAGCAUGUGUACAUCAAUUUUUAAAAAUAUUGCAACAAUUUAUGAUCCAUAGCUGAGUCUAUCCUUGCUCAGGGACGAGCAAGAGGUAAGCUUGGGGGAGUUUGUUGACGGUCCUUAAGUAUCAAAUUUACUUAUCAAAUAAACAAAGAAAAGGAUCCAAAUGAAAUCAACAUCUAGACUUAGGGUUUUAUCUGACAUAAUUCCACGAGUUUUGGUGUUUGUCUAUUUCUACAGGGGGUUAUCAGGAAAUAAGGAAGAAAGGCCCACAUGUCGGGAUUACAUAGAGAUAUCAACCCACCGCGCAAUUUUCUACCAUCUAGAAGACUCCAGAAGCCACGGGAAGGAAGCGGAGCCCGAAAGGGGCCAGGCCCAGGGCGCCCGCCCUGAGGACCUAGGCGCCCGCCCCCCUCUAGACUCCGUUCCGGACUCUCUUCGCACACGACAUCCCACCGACCUAUUGGAUCCAGAAUAACAUAGUACCACCUCGCCUAUCGACCCAAAAACGCAUAGAAGGGGAGGACUAUAUAAGGAGACCCCCUCUGGCCCCUGGAGGAGACAAGAAAUUAUCAUAGAGAUUGAGGGGUGCCCUCGAAGGAAAACCUCUUCUCUAAAUAAUAUUUCUUUUUAGGCUUAGCAACCAAUGUAAAGUAGAAAUCGAUCUUCUAGUUUCUACUAGAUUGAGAGAGAUAGAGUGGAGGUGUGGAUCGGAGGAAGGCCGGCCUGUCGGUGUCUACUCCGAGUUGUACCUGCGGG